This 75-nucleotide transfer RNA is filed under the name Xanthomonas citri pv. citri. Its description in RNAcentral is "tRNA-Glu". It matches the Rfam family "tRNA". Rfam says of the family: Transfer RNA (tRNA) molecules are approximately 80 nucleotides in length. Their secondary structure includes four short double-helical elements and three loops (D, anti-codon, and T loops). The record is from RNAcentral. Lineage: Bacteria; Pseudomonadati; Pseudomonadota; Gammaproteobacteria; Lysobacterales; Lysobacteraceae.
GGCCCGUUGGUCAAGCGGUUAAGACACCGCCCUUUCACGGCGGUAACAGGGGUUCGAAUCCCCUAGGGGACGCCA